Molecule: long non-coding RNA, 2539 nt
Filed under: Salmo salar (Atlantic salmon)
Lineage: Eukaryota; Metazoa; Chordata; Actinopteri; Salmoniformes; Salmonidae
Description: lncRNA (ENSSSAG00000119161.1)
Source: RNAcentral
GGACUGAGCAUGCACCCCUGAGGGGCCCCCGUGUUGAGGAUCAGUGUGGCGGAUGUGUUGUUACCUACCCUUACUACGUGUGGGCGGCCCGUUAGGGAGUCCAGGGUCCAGUUGCAGAGGGAGUUGUUUAGUCCCAGGGUCCUUAGCUUAGUGAUGAGCUUUGACGGCACUAUGGUGUUGAAUGCUGAGCUGUAGUCAAUGAAUAGCAUUCUCAAAUAGGUGUUCCUUUAGUCCAGGUGUGAAAGGGCCUUGUGGAGUGCAAUAGAGAUGGCAUCAUCUGUGGAUCUGUUGGUGUGGUAUGCAAAUUAGAGUGGGUCUAGGGUUUCUGGGAUAAUGGUGUUGAUGUGAGCCAUGACCAGUCUUUAAAAGAAUGUCAUGGCUACAGACGUAAGUGCUACGCGUUGGUAGUCAUUUAGGCAGGUUACCUUGGUGUUUUUUGGGCACAGGGGCUAUGGUGGUCUGCUUGAAACAUGCAGGCAUUACAGACUCAGACAGGGAGAGCUUGAAAAUAUCAGUGAAGACACUUGCCAGUUGGUCAGCGCAUGCACGGAGUACACGUCCUGGUAAUCCGUCUGGCCCUGCGGCCUUGUGAAUGUUGACCUGUUUAAAGGUCUUACUCACAUCAGAUGUGGAGAGCGGGAUCACACAGUCUUCCGGAACAGCUGAUGCUCUAUUGCAUGUUUCAGUGUUACUUGCCUCGAAGCAAGCAUAGAAGUGAUUUAGCUCAUCUGGUAGCCUCGUGUCACUGGGCAGCUCACGGCUGUGCUUCCCUUUGUAGUCUAUAAUAGUCUGCAAGCCCAGCCACAUCCGACGAGUGUCGGAGCCGGUGUAGUAUGAUUCAAUCUUAGUCCUGUAUUGACGCUUUGCCUGUUUGAUGGUUCGUCGGAGGGCAUAGCGGGAUUUCUUAUAAGCUUCCGUGUUAGAGUCCCGCUCCUUGAAAGCGGCAGCUCUACCCUUUAGCUCAGUGUGAAUGUUACCUGUAAUCCAUGGUUUCUGGUUGGAGUAUGUACGUACAGUCACUGUAGGGACGACAUCCUCGAUACACUUAUUGAUAAAGCCAGUGACUGAUGUGGGGUACACCUGAAUGCCAUUGGAAGAAUCCCGGAACAUAUUCCAGUCUGUACUAGCAAAACAGUUCUGUAGUUUAGCAUCUGCUUCAUCUGACCACUUUUUUAUAGUCAGAGUCACUGGUGCUUCCUGCUUAAAUGUUUUGCUUGUAAGCAGGAAUCAGGAGGAUAGAAUUAUGGUCAGAAUUGCCAAAUGGAGGGCGAGGGAGAGCUUUGUACGCAUCUCUGUCUGUGGAGUAAAGGUGGUCUAGAAUUUUUUUAUCCCUCUGGUUGCACAUUUAACAUGCUGAUAAAAAUGAGUUUCCCUGCAUUAAAGUCCCCGGCCACUAGGAGCGCCGUUUCUGGAUGAGCGUUUUCCUGUUUGCUUAUGGCAGUAGCUCAUUGAGUACGGUUUUAAUGCCAGCAUCGGUCUGUGGUGGUAUGUAGACAGCUAUGAAAAAUACAGAUGAAAACUCUCUAGGUAGAUAGUGUGGUCUACAGCUUAUUAUGAGAUACUCUACCUCAGGCGAGCAAAACCUCGAGAACUCCUUAGAUAUUGUGCACCAGCUGUUGUUUACCUAUAUGCAUAGGCCCCCGCCCCGUGUCUUACCCGAGGCUGCUGUUCUAUCCUGCCGAUAGAGUGUCAGGGUGGGGGGUACUGUCACAACGUCCACAGAAGGUGGUGCCUCUCCUCGGUCGGGCGGUGCUCGGCAGUCGUCGUCGCCGGCCUACUAGCUGCCACCGAUCCAUGUUUCUGUGUCUUUUGGUUAUGUCUGUUUAGUUCUGCACCUGUUCCUUGUUAGUCAUUAGUGGGGGGUAUUUAGUUUGUCUGUUUAGUUUGGGGAUUCGUGCAGGAUUGUUACUUGUCAUGUUUAUUUGUGGUAGUCAAGAUUUUCUUGUGUUCUUCUACGCCGCGUAUUUUUGUUAGGCAUUAGGGUUGACGGGCUGCGCCACGUCUGUGUGGAUUUUGGAGCUGUCCUCCUGUGUAUUUUGAUUGUGCCAGCUGUAUGCUCUUAAUGUCGUCGUUCAGCCACGACUCGGUGAAACAUAAGAUAUUACAGUUUUUAAUGUCUCAUUGGUAGGACAUUCUUGCUUUCAGUUCGUCACAUUUAUUUUCCAGCGAUUGAAUGUUAGCUAGUAGGACGGAAGGCAAAGGUAGAUUUGCCACUCGUCGCCUGAUCCUCACAAGGCACCCUGAUCUCUUUCUGCGACAUCUCAAUGUCCUUCUCCAGCGAAUGAUGGGGAUCUGGGCCUGGUCAGGUGUCUGUAGUAUAUCCCUCCCGUCCGACUUAAUGAAGAAAAACUCUUUGUCCAAUUUGAGGACCUGAGCCCUAGGACCAUGCCUCAGGACUACCUGGUAUGAUGACUCCUUGCUGUCCCCAGUCCACCUGGCCGUGCUGCUGCUCCAGUUUCAACUGUUCUGCCUGCGGCUAUGGAACCCUGACCUGUUCACCGGACGUGCUUGUUGCACCCUCGACAACUACUAUGAUUAU